This 103-nucleotide small RNA is filed under the name Lutispora thermophila. RNAcentral describes it as "Guanidine-I sequence". It matches the Rfam family "Guanidine-I riboswitch aptamer". From Rfam's summary of the family: This family represents a conserved RNA structure found upstream of the ykkC and yxkD genes in Bacillus subtilis and related genes in other bacteria. The function of this family is unclear although it has been suggested that it may function to switch on efflux pumps and detoxification systems in response to harmful environmental molecules. RNAcentral also lists the same sequence under 1 other name. The record is from RNAcentral. Lineage: Bacteria; Bacillati; Bacillota; Clostridia; Lutisporales; Lutisporaceae.
UCAAAUGUUUUAUAGGGUUCCGCAGUUUUAGUACAACUGGUCUGGUCCAAGAUAAAACACACAGCUUGUGCUGUGACCACGGAGGGAUAAAAGCCUGGGAGAU